This 481-nucleotide ribosomal RNA is filed under the name uncultured bacterium. RNAcentral describes it as "partial 16S ribosomal RNA". It matches the Rfam family "Bacterial small subunit ribosomal RNA", at positions 28 to 523 of the family's 1533-position model. The record is from RNAcentral.
GACGAACGCUGGCGGCGUGCUUAACACAUGCAAGUCGAGCGAGUGAGUUCUUCGGAACGAUCUAGCGGCGGACGGGUGAGUAACACGUGGGCAACCUGCCUCAUAGAGGGGAAUAGCCUCCCGAAAGGGAGAUUAAUACCGCAUAAAAUUAUCGAGUGGCAUCACAUGAUAAUCAAAGGAGUAAUCCGCUAUGAGAUGGGCCCGCGGCGCAUUAACUAGUUGGUGAGGUAACGGCUCACCAAGGCGACGAUGCGUAGCCGACCUGAGAGGGUGAUCGGCCACAUUGGGACGGAGACACGGCCCAGACUCCUACGGGAGGCAGCAGUGGGGAAUAUUGCACAAUGGGCGCAAGCCUGAUGCAGCGACGCCGCGUGAGGGAUGACGGCCUUCGGGUUGUAAACCUCUUUCAGCACCGACGAAGCGCAAGUGACGGUAGGUGCAGAAGAAGGACCGGCCAACUACGUGCCAGCCGCCGCGGUAA